GACGAACGCUUGCGGCGUGCUUAACACAUGCAAGUCGAACGGAAAGGCCCUGCUUUUGUGGGGUGCUCGAGUGGCGAACGGGUGAGUAACACGUGAGUAACCUGCCCUUGACUUUGGGAUAACUUCAGGAAACUGGGCUAAUACCGGAUAGGAGCUCCUGCUGCAUGGUGGGGGUUGGAAAGUUUCGGCGGUUGGGGAUGGACUCGCGGCUUAUCAGCUUGUUGGUGGGGUAGUGGCUUACCAAGGCUUUGACGGGUAGCCGGCCUGAGAGGGUGACCGGCCACAUUGGGACUGAGAUACGGCCCAGACUCCUACGGGAGGCAGCAGUGGGGAAUAUUGCACAAUGGGCGGAAGCCUGAUGCAGCAACGCCGCGUGCGGGAUGACGGCCUUCGGGUUGUAAACCGCUUUCGCCUGUGACGAAGCGUGAGUGACGGUAAUGGGUAAAGAAGCACCGGCUAACUACGUGCCAGCAGCCGCGGUGAUACGUAGGGUGCGAGCGUUGUCCGGAUUUAUUGGGCGUAAAGGGCUCGUAGGUGGUUGAUCGCGUCGGAAGUGUAAUCUUGGGGCUUAACCCUGAGCGUGCUUUCGAUACGGGUUGACUUGAGGAAGGUAGGGGAGAAUGGAAUUCCUGGUGGAGCGGUGGAAUGCGCAGAUAUCAGGAGGAACACCAGUGGCGAAGGCGGUUCUCUGGGCCUUUCCUGACGCUGAGGAGCGAAAGCGUGGGGAGCGAACAGGCUUAGAUACCCUGGUAGUCCACGCUGUAAACGGUGGGUACUAGGUGUGGGGUCCAUUCCACGGGUUCCGUGCCGUAGCUAACGCUUUAAGUACCCCGCCUGGGGAGUACGGCCGCAAGGCUAAAACUCAAAGGAAUUGACGGGGCCCCGCACAAGCGGCGGAGCAUGCGGAUUAAUUCGAUGCAACGCGUAGAACCUUACCUGGGUUUGACAUGGAUCGGGAGUGCUCAGAGAUGGGUGUGCCUCUUUUGGGGUCGGUUCACAGGUGGUGCAUGCCUGUCGUCAGCUCGUGUCGUGAGAUGUUGGGUUAAGUCCCGCAACGAGCGCAACCCUUGUUCACUGUUGCCAGCACGUUAUGGUGGGGACUCAGUGGAGACCGCCGGGGUCAACUCGGAGGAAGGUGGGGAUGACGUCAAGUCCUCAUGCCCCUUAUGUCCAGGGCUUCACGCAUGCUACAAUGGCUGGUACAGAGAGUGGCGAGCCUGUGAGGGUGAGCGAAUCUCGGAAAGCCGGUCUCAGUUCGGAUUGGGGUCUGCAACUCGACCUCAUGAAGUCGGAGUCGCUAGUAAUCGCAGAUCAGCAACGCUGCGGUGAAUACGUUCCCGGG
Molecule: ribosomal RNA, 1342 nt
Filed under: uncultured bacterium
Lineage: Bacteria
Description: 16S ribosomal RNA
Rfam family: Bacterial small subunit ribosomal RNA
Source: RNAcentral